RNAcentral lists this ribosomal RNA (253 nucleotides) under uncultured bacterium. RNAcentral's name for it is "partial 16S ribosomal RNA". It matches the Rfam family "Bacterial small subunit ribosomal RNA", at positions 524 to 776 of the family's 1533-position model. The record is from RNAcentral.
UCCGUAGGGUGCAAGCGUUGUCCGGAAUUAUUGGGCGUAAAGAGCUCGUAGGCGGUUGGUCGCGUCGGCUGUGAAAACCCGGAGCUCAACUCCGGGCCUGCAGUCGAUACGGGCCGACUUGAGUGUUGCAGGGGAGACUGGAAUUCCUGGUGUAGCGGUGAAAUGCGCAGAUAUCAGGAGGAACACCGGUGGCGAAGGCGGCACUCUGGGCCGGUACUGACGCUGAGGAGCGAAAGCGUGGGGAGCGAACAGG